Molecule: long non-coding RNA, 881 nt
Organism: Numida meleagris (helmeted guineafowl)
Lineage: Eukaryota; Metazoa; Chordata; Aves; Galliformes; Numididae
Exons: 3
Source: RefSeq, a predicted model, not a curated record
CCGCCGUGUUCCGGGGCCUGGCGCGUGCCCGCUACGCGCUGCGGGGUGCCAGCCCCUUCCGGUUCGGCUCCUUCGCCUCCUGCUCCUUCAGCAGGGAGCGGGCCGAGAGCUUCGGGCAGGACACGUUCCUCAGCAUCCGCAGCUGCUUCGGGGUCCCCAUCCACGCCUUCUCCCUCUACACGGAGGAGGAGGAGGUGCUGAUCCCCGGCCACGAGAUCUUCUGGGUCUUCCCGGACGGCGGCAGCCACCGCUUCGUGCUGCGGAGCGCCAACAGGACCUGCAGCCACUUCAACUGCGCCUUCCUGGGCCAUGAGAAGAGCCCCGAGUGCAGGGGCAGCGCAGCCAUUCCCGGGCACAGGGACGAGCUGUGAGCGCAGAACCCGGCGGCCGGGCAGCUGCACGUGCACGAGGGACGCAUCGGGACCGGCUGCAGCGGGGCAGAGCUGCUCGCUGCCCUGUGCCGUGCCGCGCUGCGCUGUGCGUCACAGCCUGGGGACGGCAGCAGCGUUCCCUUGUUGGGGAGAGCUGCAGGGGCUGCGAGGGGCACGGGGGGCUCUGCGUGGGGAGCUGCGGGGAUGGAGCGGAAGGCGUGCGGGGAAGAGCCCAGCGAGCAGAGCAGCCGGGCAGAGCGCAGCAGGCCCUGCAGGAAGCGGCCUUGUCCAUCACGCACUAAAACCCCCACGGUUCCUCUCCAAAAGCUGCCUGUGCCGUUCGUGGGGAGGGGCCCAGAAGCCCGAGGGGGGCCCACCAAAGGGCCACGGCUCCACCACCCGCAGCACAGCUGGACCCGUCCUCAGCCGCGCGGCGCUGGGGCCCUCAGCAGCUCAGCACCGCGCACUGGGAUCGGGGCAGCACGGCAGGUUGCAGCUGCCCCACAGCCC